Molecule: ribosomal RNA, 408 nt
Filed under: uncultured bacterium
Lineage: Bacteria
Description: partial 16S ribosomal RNA
Rfam family: Bacterial small subunit ribosomal RNA
Source: RNAcentral
GACGAACGCUGGCGGCGUGCUUAACACAUGCAAGUCGAACGAAGUGGCGAACGGGUGAGUAACGCGUCAUCAACCUGCCCUUCAGAGGGGGACAACAGUUGGCAAUGACUGCUCAUACCGCAUACUGAAGGAGGGGAGUGCGUCUGAUUGGCUAGUUGGAGGGGUAAAGGCCCACCAAGGCGAUGGUCAGUAGCCGGUCGGAGAGGAUGAACGGCCACAAUGGGACUGAGGCACGGCCCAGGAUCCUACGGGAGGCAGCAGUGGGGAAUCUUCCGCAAUGGAGGAAAGUCUGACGGAGCAACGCCGCGGGAGUGAUGACGGCCUUCGGGUUGUAAAGCUCUGUUAAUCGGGACGCGGUACCGGAAUAGAAAGCCACGGCUAACUACGUGCCAGCAGCCGCGGUAAUAC